Molecule: non-coding RNA, 23 nt
Filed under: Mus musculus (house mouse)
Lineage: Eukaryota; Metazoa; Chordata; Mammalia; Rodentia; Muridae
Source: miRBase by way of RNAcentral
AAGGAGAGGAGUUGGCAGGGACU